CCUACGGGGGGCAGCAGUGGGGAAUCUUGCGCAAUGGGCGGAAGCCUGACGCAGCGACGCCGCGUGGGGGAUGAAGGCCUUCGGGUUGUAAACCUCUUUCAGCAGGGACGAAGGUGACGUGUACCUGCAGAAGAAGCGCCGGCUAACUACGUGCCAGCAGCCGCGGUAAUACGUAGGGCGCGAGCGUUGUCCGGAAUUAUUGGGCGUAAAGAGCUCGUAGGCGGCUGGUCGCGUCUGCCGUGAAAGGCCUGGGCUUAACUUGGGUUUUGCGGUGGAUACGGGCCGGCUAGAGGUAGGUAGGGGAGAACGGAAUUCCUGGUGUAGCGGUGAAAUGCGCAGAUAUCAGGAGGAACACCGGUGGCGAAGGCGGUUCUCUGGGCCUAUCCUGACGCUGAGGAGCGAAAGCGUGGGGAGCGAACAGGAUUAGAUACCCCUGUAGUC
Molecule: unclassified non-coding RNA, 441 nt
Filed under: uncultured fungus
Lineage: Eukaryota; Fungi
Description: partial internal transcribed spacer 1
Rfam family: Bacterial small subunit ribosomal RNA
Source: RNAcentral